Molecule: small RNA, 1310 nt
Filed under: Bos taurus (domestic cattle)
Lineage: Eukaryota; Metazoa; Chordata; Mammalia; Artiodactyla; Bovidae
Source: RNAcentral
AGCGGAAUUCGUGAGACCUUUGCCUGUCAGGUAUUCUUUGCAUGACCUUUGUCAUGCAUGGGGUCUCCCGUAUUGGCUCCUGGCAAAUGUGAUUCUGUUCUCCAUGUGCGAACACACCAAAGCCUGCCUUGUCGCCCAAGCCUGUGGGGCCGGAAGCAGUAAAAGGAUCAAGCUAAGCCAACCAUCCUAUAAUCCUGAUACCAAUAUAUGUGUUCUGCAAAGAGUACAAUUAGUAAUGUUUCAAACUGGAAGACUCUGCAGGUAGCAGGUCCUGAUGCUGCACUUCUGGUCCAUCACUGAAAGCACAGGAAAAAGGAAAGCCUAGUAUGCCUGGCACUUCAGAAGGACAGAACGGCCCUUGUAGCCGGGUGGUCAAGGGGUUGUGUGGUCACCCACUUUGGCUUCUUUGUCUGAGGUUGCUGUCUGUUCUGUGUCUUGGAAUCUUUGAACUCUCACUGGUCGCCCACAGGCACUUUCCUCCUGCCUCUCCUUUCUGCCAGGCAUCCUUGGUGCACCAUUCUGAUUCCACUUAGAACUUGCUGGCUCGGUGAGAUAACAGAGAUUGGUACACUGGCUUCAGUGCUUCUGCUGGCUGGAGUCUAGGUGGAGUCUUUCCCUAUGACGUUCAUGCUUUGCUAUUCAACUCCCAUUACCUGGUUAGGUCACUUCCGACAGCUCAUACUCAUAAGCGUACUGGCAGGUGGUUCUUUGUGUGCAUGUGCAUGUACACAGUAACAUCCCUGAGAGGAAAUUUGCACAUAUGCAGAAGUACACGCUUUCUUCUCCAGGAACAUGAACUUUGGUAAGCACCCAACUUUCUUUGUCCUGGUUAUUUUCUUUCACUUGCUCAUCUCAGGUUGCACUUCUGACUCUGUACCUUAGCACCAACUGUGUUAGAACCACCCAGACAUCACUGAUUGACUAAAUGCCAAGACUCCCUUUCAGUUGCUCUCAUUAGGCCCAGGUAGGUCUUCAUACAAUCAGGUAUACAUGCUUGCCUACACAGCCGAAGUGCCAAUGAAGCCUGUCCCUGGUUGGGCCCAAAGACAUCCAAGACAGUCACCUGGAAGGCAGGAUCCCUCUGAGUGUCACCUGGUGCAAAUCCCCUAUGACAAAAUCAGAGAAUCUGCUCCAGGGAGAGAGCCAGAAUCCUCCCUCAGAGGCAGACGCACACCUUUGCCCCUCUAAACCCCACAGUCAGGGGCAUGACCCCAGAGGAAAGAAGGAAUUCACGUCAGGACUUUCAGCACACACCAUGGGGUAUCUUUGGCAGGACCGCUAUUGCCUAGACCCUGGACCCUGAAAACCAG